Molecule: ribosomal RNA, 274 nt
Filed under: uncultured bacterium
Lineage: Bacteria
Description: partial 16S ribosomal RNA
Rfam family: Bacterial small subunit ribosomal RNA
Source: RNAcentral
AUACGGAGGGGGCAAGCGUUAUUCGGAUUUACUGGGCGUAAAGGGCGUGUAGGCGGCUUGAUAGGUCAAAGGUGAAAGCCCUCGGCUCAACCGAGGAACUGCCUUUGAAACCAUCUGGCUCGAGGCCGGGAGGGGGUAGUGGAAUUCCUGGUGUAGCGGUGAAAUGCGUAGAUAUCAGGAGGAACACCAGUGGCGAAGGCGGCUACCUGGACCGGUUCUGACGCUGAGGCGCGAAAGCGUGGGGAGCAAACAGGAUUAGAUACCCCAGUAGUCC